UUCACCCAGCUCAGUCUGUUGAACACUCGCAUUGAUUUAUCCCAGCCGGCAAGCCCCCACCUUCCCUGCAAAAGACUAUGAAGACUAAAGCUCCUUUCUCUCAUUGCAUCGGAGAGCUUUAUCUCUAUGUGCUGCCCUUUAGGUACCUACGCCGUUACUUUUGGUAAGCAUCUAAAAAUUGAGAACGCAACGGUGACAUGAUUCAGGCAUGUGUCAUGUAAGGUUAGGUGAUCUAUAAUGUGGUGCUAUACGUUGGUACAGUGGUACACUUAAGGAGAUCGCCUUCACACAAGUGAAUCUAGCAACUUUUGCUCUGGGAGCCUAGUUCAAACAAAGUCUUGGCAUCAUCUGCCCACUGUUUUCUUUAUGCUUGUUCGCUAAUCCUAAGCGCAGUGCUUACACACAGUAGCUGGGGGUAAUUGGAAAUGUGGUUUUUAAAAAGGAGACUGAUAAUCAAUUAAUCACGGCUACUUUGUGAUGUGAGGUGAUGGGCUUUCUAUUGUCAUAAUGCAAAUGAUCCCAACUGCCCCCGUUGAAAAAGAUUUAAGACGAAAUAGAGCAGUCAGCUUGAUGGUGGGUCUUUUGGCCUAGUCUGAGACUAGAUGAAGAGACAAAAUGAGCCUAUAAGAAAUAGAGGGGAGCUUACUAUGUAGCAGUUGGCAAAUAUGAGGUGCCCAGCAUAGAAUGCUUCACCAAGGAAGUAUUUCUUUCCAGGUCCAAUCUACUGGAUUGUUCUAUUAUACAUGGAUGAGCUUUGCACCAGCUUUUGUGCUCAUCAUUAGAUUCCAGUUGCACUUCAAAGUGCAAAAUGAAGAGGUAUUCCUGGUUAUGCUUAAUAUUAGCUUAGAUAUUUAUAUUGGUACAAAUGGGAGAGUCCUUAAAUGCUGUCCUGGAACAGCCGUGAACAUUAUCCUACAUACAUUAUAUAUUGUUUAUAUGACCAAACACAGUGCAUGUAUCUAAUUUUGGUCUGUCAAACGGUCAAACCCCUCAUAGCUUAUAACAACUGUGAUAUAAUAUACACACACUAUUUUUUAGCUGGCCUAUGAAUCUGUCGUUGGAUGAUCUAAAAUGGGACCUUGAUUGUGUGCAAAGUUUAUGCUUCAUGUUUCAUAUUCUGAAUUCAUUCCUUUUUACCUGUUUUUCAGACCUUCCUUUUACCUGUACUAUCUACUAUUGCCUCCAUGCUUUGUUCGACACUUCCACUUACUUAAUGUUUUUCCUCUUAUGCUAGAAGAGUGAAGAGCCGAUUUGUAAACUUGGACUGUGAAGUUGAAACCUAUUCGAUUCCAGAAAACCUCAACCAUGCAGCAUCUUAUACUUGCAGCCUUGUCUGCUGCUGUUCUUUCUGCAUGCCUCCUGCAUGCGGAAAGUGCUGAUCUGAACUCUGACAAGCAGGCUCUUCUUGCAUUUGCUGCAUCACUGCCCCAUGGCAGGAAGCUCAACUGGAGCUCCACAACACCUCUCUGCACUUCUUGGGUGGGAGUGACAUGCACACCGGACAACAGUCGUGUACACACAUUACGCCUACCUGCAGUAGGGCUCUUUGGCCCCAUACCCUCGGAUACGCUUAGCAAGCUUGAUGCCCUGGAGGUAUUGAGCCUCAGGUCCAAUCGCCUUACUGUUGACCUCCCUCCUGAUGUGGGAUCUAUUCCUUCUCUUCAUUCCCUCUUUCUUCAGCAUAAUAACCUGUCUGGAAUUAUACCAACUUCCCUUUCUUCCAGUUUAACAUUUCUAGAUUUGUCCUACAACACUUUCGAUGGAGAAAUCCCAUUGAGAGUGCAAAAUCUCACUGGACUUACUGCAAUUCUUCUCCAGAACAACUCUCUUUCUGGGCCUAUCCCUGACCUCCAACUGCCCAAAUUGAGGCAUUUGAAUGUGAGCAACAACAACCUCAGUGGUCCAAUACCACCUUCCCUGCAGAAAUUCCCAGCCAGUUCCUUCUUGGGGAAUGCUUUUCUAUGUGGGUUUCCAUUGGAAUCAUGUCCUGGAACCGCACCUUCUCCUUCCCCAACAUCACCAUCACCAAUGCCUAGCAAGACCAAAAAGAGCUUCUGGAGAAGGAUUAGAACUGGUGUUCUAAUUGCUGUUGCUGCUGCAGCAGGGGUGUUGUUGCUCAUUUUGAUUAUCGUACUCUUGGUGUGUAUUUUCAAGAGAAAGAAACACACAGAACCUACCACAACUUCGUCGUCCAAAGGAAAAGCUAUUGCAGGUGGAAGGGUAGAAAACCCUAAGGAAGACUAUAGCAGUAGUGUUCAGGAAGCAGAGAGGAACAAACUGGUGUUCUUUGAGGGUUCUUCAUAUAAUUUUGACCUGGAGGAUUUGCUGAGAGCUUCAGCUGAAGUGCUUGGAAAAGGAAGUUAUGGGACUACCUACAAGGCUGUUCUUGAGGAUGGCACCGUAGUUGUGGUCAAGAGGUUAAAGGAGGUGGUGGUAGGGAAGAAAGACUUUGAACAGCAGAUGGAGAUAGUUGGCAGGAUUGGCCAGCACCAAAAUGUUGUUCCAUUGCGUGCUUAUUAUUACUCCAAGGAUGAAAAGUUACUGGUGUAUGACUAUGUCCCAUCUGGUAGCCUUGCCGCUGUUUUGCAUGGUAUGUUCUCUUUUGUCUCUUAUGAACUUCUAACCUAUUCAACACAUUCCUCGGUUCAAGCUAAGUAAUGGCUAAGUAAGACUCAAGUCACUUGACUAAUGGGCACUGGUAGGCUAUAGCACAUUCAACCUUUAGCUAGAUUCAGUCUGACAGUUAUAUAACGAACUAGAAUGCUGCAAGUGAGGGUGGCACACUACUAAUUACCAUGCCAAAUCCUUGUUUUAUGUCAUUUUCUCUGAAAGUUUAAUUCAUCUCAUUUCUGUGGUUACUCUUAGAUGAAUCCUUCGAUUUCUAUCAAUGAAGGAGUAGCAAUGAAUCCUCUUUCUAUAUGAAUUUAUUUACCCUUUAACAUUGCCAAGCUUCUUGUACUUCUUAAUGAAAAUGACACGCCCCCAGCGUGUUCAAGAAAAAAUCACUUUCAUGCUCUUCAACAGUUCCAUAAUUGGGUUACGUGGCACAAUUUGAUGUGAACUUAAAUCUUUGUUAGUUGACACAAAUUCAUUAAUCUUUCUGACAUUCUAGUGUUUAGACUUCUGCGCUGAAGUCAGAGAGGUACAUAAUUUCCAUUUAUGUGUCCAUGUUCGUGCCAAAUAAUUGCUCCUUUUCUUCGUUUGUUAACUUAUGUUGAGCUGCUGCCUUUUCUUGUAUAAUCACGGAUACACCAAUACUUUCUGGCUUAGAUCAGAUAGAGGGAAGCAUGGGAACUUCCUUUUGUUCCUCGUAGCAAUCCUUUCUUUUUCUUCUGAAUCUUUGGUUGUAGAAAUUAUUACUGUACACUGUAGCAUUGAACUAUUAAACAGCCUUCUUUGACCUGCACUAGCUUUAGCUUAUUUUAGAGGCACUUGAGUGUCCAUGGUGUCCGUUGACUUAUCAAAUGACAUGGUUAUAAAUAUACUUUCAGGGAAUAAAACUACGGGAAGAGCUCCAUUGGACUGGGAGACCAGAGUAAAGAUAUCUCUUGGUGUGGCUCGUGGAAUCGCUCAUCUUCAUGCUGAGGGAAGCGGGAAGUUCACCCAUGGCAAUCUCAAAUCAUCGAACAUCCUUCUGUCGCAGAACCUCGACGGUUGUGCCUCUGAGUUUGGCCUGGCACAGCUCAUGAGCAAUGUACCUGCUCCUGCGCGGCUUAUCGGAUAUCGUGCUCCAGAAGUCAUGGAGACGAAGAAGCCAACCCAGAAGUCUGAUGUCUACAGCUUCGGUGUGCUACUCCUUGAAAUGCUAACUGGGAAAGCCCCUCUCAGGUCUCCGGGACGCGAUGAUUCCGUCGGCGACCUUCCGAGAUGGGUGCAGUCCGUGGUCCGAGAAGAGUGGACGGCAGAGGUCUUCGACGUGGACUUGUUAAGGCAUCCAAACAUCGAAGACGAGAUGGUCCAGCUGCUCCAGGUCGCGAUGGCGUGUGUCGCCAUCCCCCCUGAGCAGCGGCCUAAAAUGGAGGAGGUGGUCGGGAGGAUCACCGAGAUCCGGAACUCCUACUCGGGGGCGAUGACGCCGCCGGAGGAGACAACCCUGGCGCCGCCAUAAGGGCACAAAGAUAUAACCCCUUGUAUUCAGCAGAUGUAGCUAUAGCUAGGUCGCUUAGUUACAUGCUUAUAGAUAAUAGCCUCAGCAAAGUUGAUAGCCGCUUGCUUUUACCUGUUGAUCUCUGAUGAUUCUUUGUUCCAAGUAACUUUUGCUGUGCCAUUUUGGCAGUAGCGAACUAGUGAUCGGGAUGAUGGCCCUUGCCGUCGUUCUCUUUUCGGUUAAACCGGUAGGUCUUGUGAUCUGGUCUUCACAGCGUUCGUGCUCUUCUGUAAUUCGGCAUUGUUUUUCCCGAGUGUGAUUGAGAUUCAUCCAACUUAACUUCCCUUCUGUUUGUCCACCCAUCGCCAGGCAUUUUACCUUGCCAUUUUCUCCGUCCAUCAAACGUGAAUUCGUCGGUCGCGCCAAAGGAACCCGUUGCCUUCGUUUUUGCUAUACACAACUACUCAAAUCAUAAUGAUUUCGCAGUCAUCCUUUGUGUUGCGUAUCGAUCUUGGAAGUAAUCUAUCAUUACUGUGUUCCGUCGUUUACCAACUCUACCAUAUGCAGAUAAAGAAUUUUUUUCAUAUUCUCUCAUCUUAAACAUCUUUUACUCAAAAUAAUCAAAUGACGCCUUAGCCUUUCUCUUCUUCACUCCUCUUCAUUUAUGAACAUCCAAGUUCUUUUGAUUAGUUCCUUACAAACAAGGACCUCUGAUUAGUAUACUCGCCUCGAUGGUGAUUGGGGUGGAGGACAGCGUCGCCAGCACCAGAAGCUGUUGGAGAGCAGCCGCGCCUUGUUCGACCCCAUCCUCGCCGCCGCCUGAGGAUGGUGAUGCUUCUUCUUCUUCCGCUGCUGCCCCGCGGGGGAGAUCAGUCGUGCAUGUGUGCGUGCCGAGGGGAGAGAUGGUGGCCACGGAACACAGCAUUCAGAUCCUACCAGGGCCCAGGCUACCACAACCAUGUCCUUCCUGGAUC
RNAcentral lists this long non-coding RNA (5061 nucleotides) under Brachypodium distachyon (stiff brome). RNAcentral describes it as "long non-coding RNA (BDIS_LNC002670)". Lineage: Eukaryota; Viridiplantae; Streptophyta; Magnoliopsida; Poales; Poaceae. The record is from RNAcentral.